This 406-nucleotide ribosomal RNA is filed under the name uncultured bacterium. RNAcentral's name for it is "partial 16S ribosomal RNA". It matches the Rfam family "Bacterial small subunit ribosomal RNA", at positions 30 to 526 of the family's 1533-position model. The record is from RNAcentral.
AUUGAACGCUGGCGGCAGGCUUAACACAUGCAAGUCGAACGAGUGGCGGACGGGUGAGUAAUGUCUGGGAAACUGCCUGAUGGAGGGGGAUAACUACUGGAAACGGUAGCUAAUACCGCAUACCAUCGGAUGUGCCCAGAUGGGAUUAGCUAGUAGGUGGGGUAAUGGCUCACCUAGGCGACGAUCCCUAGCUGGUCUGAGAGGAUGACCAGCAACACUGGAACUGAGACACGGUCCAGACUCCUACGGGAGGCAGCAGUGGGGAAUAUUGCACAAUGGGCGCAAGCCUGAUGCAGCCAUGCCGCGUGUGUGAAGAAGGCCUUCGGGUUGUAAAGCACUUGCAGCGGGGAGGCGUUACCCGCAGAAGAAGCACCGGCUAACUCCGUGCCAGCAGCCGCGGUAAUUC